Molecule: long non-coding RNA, 364 nt
Organism: Herpailurus yagouaroundi (jaguarundi)
Lineage: Eukaryota; Metazoa; Chordata; Mammalia; Carnivora; Felidae
Exons: 3
Source: RefSeq, a predicted model, not a curated record
AUUGUUUUUGAGCACCUAUCCAGGUGCUAGGCGCUGUGCUAAGAACUGUGGAAGGAAGCACUAACUCAGUUAAUCUCCUCAACAACACUAUGAUACCAGUGGAGAGGAGCAACUCACAGAACAGACCGUAUCUAUGAAUCCUGAGGGACUCUUCCCCCACCCCAGGGAUUCAUAUGAGGAAGAAGUCAGAUACAGGCCACACGACAUCAAACAACAUUCAGCACAUGUCAUCCACCAACACUGAGAGGUUACUUGCUACAGUUGGCAUGGAGGCCCUGAACAGAUACGGCAGAUGGUAACAGCAGGGUAUGCACCUAGUUCCUCACAGUACUGCUGGUAUUCACGAGGCAUAGACCUUUAAGGA